GAUGAAGAACGUAGCGAAAUGCGAUAAGUAGUGUGAAUUGCAGAAUUCAGUGAAUCAUCGAAUCUUUGAACGCACAUUGCGCCCUAUAGUAUUCUGUAGGGCAUGCAUGUUCGAGCGUCAUUUGUACCUUCAAGCUUUGCUUGGUGUUGGGUGUUUGUCCUCUCCCUGGUGUUUGGACUCGCCUUAAAACAAUUGGCAGCCAGUGUUUUGGUAUUGAAGCGCAGCACAAUUUGCGAUUCUGGCCUUAAAAUACUAGCGUCCAUAAGUACAUUCUCACUUUUAACCUCGGAUCAUGUAGGGAUACCCGCUGAACUUAAGCAUAUCAAUAAGCGGAGGA
This 337-nucleotide unclassified non-coding RNA is filed under the name soil metagenome. RNAcentral's name for it is "partial contains 5.8S ribosomal RNA, internal transcribed spacer 2, and large subunit ribosomal RNA". The stretch from base 1 to 120 matches the Rfam family "5.8S ribosomal RNA", at positions 35 to 154 of the family's 154-position model. The record is from RNAcentral.